This 77-nucleotide transfer RNA is filed under the name Escherichia coli. RNAcentral's name for it is "tRNA-fMet". It matches the Rfam family "tRNA". From Rfam's summary of the family: Transfer RNA (tRNA) molecules are approximately 80 nucleotides in length. Their secondary structure includes four short double-helical elements and three loops (D, anti-codon, and T loops). The record is from RNAcentral. Lineage: Bacteria; Pseudomonadati; Pseudomonadota; Gammaproteobacteria; Enterobacterales; Enterobacteriaceae. RNAcentral also lists the same sequence under 3 other names.
CGCGGGGUGGGGCAGCCUGGUAGCUCGUCGGGCUCAUAACCCGAAGGUCGUCGGUUCAAAUCCGGCCCCCGCAACCA